CCUACGGGGGGCAGCAGUGGGGAAUAUUGCACAAUGGGGGAAACCCUGAUGCAGCGACGCCGCGUGAAGGAUGAAGUAUUUCGGUAUGUUAACUUCUAUCAGCAGGGAAGUAAAUGACGGUACCUGACUAAGAAGCCCCGGCUAACUACGUGCCAGCAGCCGCGGUAAUACGUAGGGGGCAAGCGUUAUCCGGAUUUACUGGGUGUAAAGGGAGCGUAGGCGGUAAUGCAAGUCAGAAGUGAAAGCUCGGGGCUCAACGCCGGGACUGCUUUUGAAACUGUGUUGCUAGAUUGCAGGAGAGGUAAGUGGAAUUCGUGGUGUAGCGGUGAAAUGCGUAGAGAUUAGGAGGAACACCAGUGGCGAAGGCGGCUUACUGGACUGUAAAUGACGCUGAGGCUCGAAAGCGUGGGGAGCAAACAGGAUUAGAUACCCUUGUAGUC
RNAcentral lists this ribosomal RNA (440 nucleotides) under uncultured bacterium. Its description in RNAcentral is "partial 16S ribosomal RNA". It matches the Rfam family "Bacterial small subunit ribosomal RNA", at positions 338 to 795 of the family's 1533-position model. The record is from RNAcentral.